AGAGAAUCACUUGAACCCAAGGCAGAGGUUGCAGUGAGCUGAGAUCACACUAUUGCACUCCAGCCUGGGGAAUAAGA
This 77-nucleotide small nuclear RNA is filed under the name Homo sapiens (human). Its description in RNAcentral is "partial ncRNA". The record is from RNAcentral. Lineage: Eukaryota; Metazoa; Chordata; Mammalia; Primates; Hominidae.